GUCCCCCCUCGGGGGGACCGCAUAUCAAACUGGAUUAUAUACAGAGAAGAUUAGCAUGGCCCCUGCGCAAGGAUGACACGUUAAAGCAUGAAGCGUAUAACCAAUUUUU
RNAcentral lists this small nuclear RNA (109 nucleotides) under Monosiga brevicollis. Lineage: Eukaryota; Choanoflagellata; Craspedida; Salpingoecidae. The record is from RNAcentral.